This 759-nucleotide ribosomal RNA is filed under the name uncultured bacterium. RNAcentral's name for it is "bacterial SSU rRNA". It matches the Rfam family "Bacterial small subunit ribosomal RNA", at positions 28 to 776 of the family's 1533-position model. The record is from RNAcentral.
GAUGAACGCUAGCGAUAGGCUUAACACAUGCAAGUCGAGGGGCAGCACGAUUUUAGCUUGCUAAGAUUGGUGGCGACCGGCGCACGGGUGCGUAACGCGUAUGCAACUUACCUUAUAGAGGGGGAUAGCCCGUUUAACGACGGAUUAAUACCGCAUAUACAAGCAGUUCGGCAUCGAACAACUUGGAAAUGAAUUUCGCUAUAAGAUAGGCAUGCGUCCCAUUAGCUAGUUGGUGAGGUAACGGCUCACCAAGGCAACGAUGGGUAGGGGAACUGAGAGGUUGAUCCCCCACACUGGUACUGAGACACGGACCAGACUCCUACGGGAGGCAGCAGUGAGGAAUAUUGGUCAAUGGACGCAAGUCUGAACCAGCCAAAUCGCGUGAAGGAUGACUGUCUUAUGGAUUGUAAACUUCUUUUAUACGGGAAUAAUCACAGAUACGUGUAUCUGUUUGAAUGUACCGUACGAAUAAGCAUCGGCUAACUCCGUGCCAGCAGCCGCGGUAAUACGGAGGAUGCGAGCGUUAUCCGGAUUUAUUGGGUUUAAAGGGUGCGUAGGUGGUCUGAUAAGUCAGCGGUGAAAUCUCCGAGCUCAACUCGGACACUGCCGUUGAAACUGUUGGACUUGGGUGUAGAUGAGGUAGGCGGAAUGCGUGGUGUAGCGGUGAAAUGCAUAGAUAUCACGCAGAACUCCGAUUGCGAAGGCAGCUUACUAAGGUACAACUGACACUGAAGCACGAAAGCGUGGGUAUCAAACAGG